GAUUGAACAGUCUGGGCACUGGAUAUCCCUUCUCUGGAAGAUCCCUGACUUCAUCACGGCUAAUUGGUCUACUGAUGACAUGACCCCUGAGACAAAAGAAACGUAUCCAGAUGUCCUGGAGAAGAUGAGAGACCCUGUGUCAGCAGUAAGGUGAGUGUCUGAUCCUAGUUAUUCAAUAUGUUUAACUGUCCUUGUUGAUAUACAUUAAUCUUUCUGAGAUUAGUUUCAGUACUAACUUUAGCUGCAUUCUGAUUCUGACAUUCGGACAUUAUGAGAUUUAUCUAUUACAUAUGUUGCCAAAAAUAGGGAAAGACUAGGUUUUUUUGGGGGGGGGGGGGGCACAUUUAAAGGGAUAGUUCACCCAAAAAUAAAAUUUCAAAAAAGUGUAUGACUUUCCUUGGA
Cyprinus carpio (common carp) is the source of this 402-nucleotide long non-coding RNA. The record is from Ensembl. Lineage: Eukaryota; Metazoa; Chordata; Actinopteri; Cypriniformes; Cyprinidae.